RNAcentral lists this ribosomal RNA (201 nucleotides) under uncultured bacterium. RNAcentral's name for it is "partial 16S ribosomal RNA". It matches the Rfam family "Bacterial small subunit ribosomal RNA", at positions 524 to 724 of the family's 1533-position model. The record is from RNAcentral.
UACGUAGGGUGCGAGCGUUAAUCGGAAUUACUGGGCGUAAAGCGUGCGUAGGCGGUUUCGCAAGUCAGAUGUGAAAUCCCCGGGCUCAACCUGGGAACUGCAUUUGUGACUGCGAGGCUAGAGUAUGGCAGAGGGGGGUGGAAUUCCACGUGUAGCAGUGAAAUGCGUAGAGAUGUGGAGGAACACCAAUGGCGAAGGCAG